Molecule: ribosomal RNA, 443 nt
Filed under: uncultured bacterium
Lineage: Bacteria
Description: bacterial SSU rRNA
Rfam family: Bacterial small subunit ribosomal RNA
Source: RNAcentral
CUACGUGCCAGCAGCCGCGGUAAUACGGAAGGUCCGGGCGUUAUCCGGAUUUAUUGGGUUUAAAGGGAGCGUAGGCCGGAGAUUAAGUGUGUUGUGAAAUGUAGACGCUCAACGUCUGACUUGCAGCGCAUACUGGUUUCCUUGAGUACGCACAACGUUGGCGGAAUUCGUCGUGUAGCGGUGAAAUGCUUAGAUAUGACGAAGAACUCCGAUUGCGAAGGCAGCUGACGGGAGCGCAACUGACGCUUAAGCUCGAAGGUGCGGGUAUCGAACAGGAUUAGAUACCCUGGUAGUCCGCACAGUAAACGAUGGAUGCCCGCUGUUGGUACCUGGUAUCAGCGGCUAAGCGAGAGCAUUAAGCAUCCCACCUGGGGAGUACGCCGGCAACGGUGAAACUCAAAGGAAUUGACGGGGGCCCGCACAAGCGGAGGAACAUGUGGUUU